This 297-nucleotide ribosomal RNA is filed under the name uncultured bacterium. RNAcentral describes it as "partial 16S ribosomal RNA". It matches the Rfam family "Bacterial small subunit ribosomal RNA", at positions 335 to 625 of the family's 1533-position model. The record is from RNAcentral.
UGCCUACGGGGGGCAGCAGUAGGGAAUCUUCCACAAUGGACGAAAGUCUGAUGGAGCAACGCCGCGUGAGUGAAGAAGGGUUUCGGCUCGUAAAGCUCUGUUGGUAGUGAAGAAAGAUAGAGGUAGUAACUGGCCUUUAUUUGACGGUAAUUACUUAGAAAGUCACGGCUAACUACGUGCCAGCAGCCGCGGGAAUACGUAGGUGGCGAGCGUUGUCCGGAAUCACUGGGCGUAAAGGGCGCGUAGGCGGUUUAAUAAGUCAGUGGGGAAAACUGAGGGCUCAACCCUCAGCCUGCC